Lagopus muta (rock ptarmigan) is the source of this 1763-nucleotide long non-coding RNA. RefSeq lists it as uncharacterized. Lineage: Eukaryota; Metazoa; Chordata; Aves; Galliformes; Phasianidae. The record is from RefSeq and is a predicted model, not a curated record. The transcript is spliced from 2 exons.
GUAGGCGACUCGUGUGCUUGAUCGCCAGUCUCUAAAAGGUGCUAUUUCUUUGUUGUUAUUUUUUUUUUCCGAAGCCCAAAAUGAAUUACUUCAAACAAAAGGCAGGAUGGAUUUUUGUAUUAAAGCACAUUUUCAGCAUGAAAUAAAAGUUUGAGAAUCCACCGAAGUUUAGAAACGACAAAGUGAGAAGGCUGCUUCAGCCAGCUGUGCUCUUGCAUCAAGAUUGUGCAACCAACCAACCGAUUCGUAGGCACGCAGACACAACGCACCGUGCCUGUGCCCCCUGUUCCUCCCCCUUCAUCCACCGCCAUGCUCCUGCAGAGCUCCCAGCUGCUUUACCUGCAGGAGCUGUGGCCUCCCGCCUGCUGGGGUGUGAGAACAGAUCGUAUUUACGUUGUCAUGGGCAACGGACUAUAGGACACAGGUCUUCCGGUGUGCCGGCAAUGGCAUGCAGGUGAGCCCUGAGAUUAGGGAAACGUGCAGAUCCAAGCUGCUGUCUUCAAUGUCCUCAUUUCAAGAAAAGGAACUGGAAGCUUCAAAACAAGGUAACAGCCAGCACAUGUCAAAGAUACAGGGCUGUGGAGACCCUGGGGUAUGCCAAGGGAUGGUAACAAAAACACAGUUCUGUGUUUUCCUACAGGUCCUGCAGCAGAGAUGGUGCUAGGCACUCACUCAUAGUGCCACGUUCAAAUAAAAGAAUCACCUUUGCUUCAGGUUUGAGAGAAGGGAGGGGAGCAGAGACUGAUAGAACUCACAGCUAUAUUCCCUUCUUGUGUGUUCUUAGGAAACAGGAGAGGGCUUUACUGUAAAACUGAGCCAUAUGUGAAGCAGCUUGCAACAGCAGGCUGCACCCACAAUUGUUCCUUGAGAUUACAUGACGCUCUCCUUGACCAUGAUGGAGCUGUACAGGGACAUACUAGAUGAACACAGUUUAAACAUGCAUGUGAUCAAGCAAGGAAAAUCUAUAAUAAUCGUCUCUGUAACUGAAAUCCACCGUGAAUUAUUGAUUUUAUUAGUGAAAAUAAAUAGUAAAAAAAGCAAUAAGAAUUUGCUCAAACUGUUGAAUGAGAAAAAUCACAUCACAGAGCAUUGUUUAAAAAUGUAUUAAGUGACAAUAGAUGUUCACAAUGUACUGGAUUUGUAAAGAUUAUUCUACACAUGUAAAUCCAGCCGUGUUUGUCCAAGACUUGAAGCAAAUGGAAACUAGGGGCAACACAGCUUUUACGUCUCAAAAUGAAAUAAUGAUCUUAAUGCAUACGAUAAGAAAGGAAAGAGGAAGGGAGUUCCCCUGUACAGGUAAUCUUUAUUUUACCUUCAUAUCUUCCUUUGUGCUAUUUUAUUUGGAGUCUGAUUAGAAGCAGAGCUCAGUGCCAUGUAUUUCAAAUAACCCCCUGCAAGACUGAAUUAUUUCUACAGGGACCAGAUCUUCUUUUUUUUUAAGCAUCAAACCAGAGGUGUAAAAAGACAGUGUUGACAAAAAGAGCGGGUCAAAUAAUGUUGACCAACUUAGUUCAUGUGCUUCACAAACGGAACGCAGAUGUGUGCCUACAGCAGGCAUGAGUAGUAAAGGGAGGUGAAGGCAAAAAAGUCUCCACUGGAUGAUAAAGAGAAAAAAUCUACAUCACUGACAUUUCUAUUGCUCUCACUGUAAGGAUGAUGCUGUAGGAAUUCAAAAAUAAAGUAACAAGCUAUUUCCACUAGUGUCAAAAUUCAGAAUUUCAGGGCUAAAAUAAGCACACAAAAUAAAAUGUACAAUUAAUGGA